Molecule: non-coding RNA, 167 nt
Organism: Brassica rapa (field mustard)
Lineage: Eukaryota; Viridiplantae; Streptophyta; Magnoliopsida; Brassicales; Brassicaceae
Product: microRNA MIR9563a
Source: RefSeq, marked provisional
GAAGUUAGCAAGAUUAAUGGGAAGUUCUUAGCGGAAUAUAAGAACCCGUCUCUUAAUUUUUAACUAAAAAAAUUAAGAACCGGAUUCUUAACUUUUUUUUAGUUAAAAGUUAAGAGACAAGUUAUUAUAUUUCUUAAGUGCCUCAUCUUAAGAGCACUUGCAACGGG